Long non-coding RNA from Bacillus rossius redtenbacheri, 192 nucleotides. RefSeq lists it as uncharacterized. Lineage: Eukaryota; Metazoa; Arthropoda; Insecta; Phasmatodea; Bacillidae. The record is from RefSeq and is a predicted model, not a curated record. The transcript is spliced from 2 exons.
AGACACUCACCCGCCCGGAAUGCAGCCGCGACACACAGCAGACACCGGCGCGGGGUGUAGCGAAUUUGGAGCAUUUGGAGCCUUGGGGCAACUGUAGCAUUGAAGCAGAAGACUACAAAAAUCAACACACACUCGUAAUUUGUUUUGUUUAUUGUAUGUGUAGAAUUUACAUAAUACAUUUUUUAUUUGCAA